GAUGAAGAACGCAGCGAAAUGCGAUAAGUAAUGUGAAUUGCAGAAUUCAGUGAAUCAUUGAAUCUUUGAACGCACAUUGCGCCCCUUGGUAUUCCGAGGGGCAUGCCUAUUCGAGCGUCAUUAUCACCCCUCAAGCUCCGGCUUGGUGUUGAGGCCUGCUGUAAAGGCACCCUCUAAAAUCAGUGGCAGUGCUGUCAGGCUCUAAGCGUAGUAAUUCUCUCGCUACAGGGUCCCGGUGGACACUCGCCAGAACCCCCCCAUUUUUUAAUGAUUGACCUCGGAUUAGGUAGGGAUACCCGCUGAACUUAAGCAUAUCAAUAAGCGGAGGA
RNAcentral lists this unclassified non-coding RNA (329 nucleotides) under soil metagenome. RNAcentral describes it as "partial contains 5.8S ribosomal RNA, internal transcribed spacer 2, and large subunit ribosomal RNA". The stretch from base 1 to 120 matches the Rfam family "5.8S ribosomal RNA", at positions 35 to 154 of the family's 154-position model. The record is from RNAcentral.